Long non-coding RNA from Oncorhynchus tshawytscha (Chinook salmon), 490 nucleotides. Lineage: Eukaryota; Metazoa; Chordata; Actinopteri; Salmoniformes; Salmonidae. The record is from Ensembl.
CGCGAAUUGGAGGUCAGAAUCAUUCUCGAUCUGGCAAAACAGUCUCAUGGCAUCCUCAGAUGUCAGGAUGGUCAAAUUCAUUGGGGAAAGGGGUUCUGUGUCCGAGUCUGUUGUGAGGUCUACGACCGUUUUGAGGUCUGUGUCUGGUGCCUCUGUUUCAGCAAGCAGUUUCACAGCAUCCUCUGGUGUGAGGACGGUCAAAAUCAUUGGGGAAAGGGGUUCUGUCUCCAAGUCUGCGUUUGUUGGGAGGUCUGUGUUUGUUGGGGGGUCUACGUCCAUCGUGAGGUCUGUAUUUGUUGGGGGCUCUGUGUCCAUCGUGAGGUCUGUGUUUGUUGGGGGGUCUACAUCCAUCGUGAGGUCUGUGUUUGUUGUGGGGUCUGCGUCCAUCGUGAGGUCUGUGUUUGUUGUGAGGUCUGAGUCUGUUGUUUCUGCAGGAAAUUCCACAGUCUCCAUCUUGCUGUGGAAGGUCUCAUCCAUCUGGACACCCCCA